Diospyros lotus (date-plum) is the source of this 2687-nucleotide RNA transcript. It is a transcript of the gene named transcription factor MYC2-like, with no coding region annotated. The record is from RefSeq and is a predicted model, not a curated record. The transcript is spliced from 3 exons. Lineage: Eukaryota; Viridiplantae; Streptophyta; Magnoliopsida; Ericales; Ebenaceae.
CUGCGAACCAACUGAACAUUCAGCUGAAAUGCACUCCAAAUAAAUCCCAAAUCCAAAUGAAAUCCAAAUUCUCGACCUCCACAGCCACAGCCACCAUUUUCAUAUUUGAAACACCAUUCGUCUCCGCCUGCUGCUACCCCUCUCCGCUUCGUCUUAAUUAAGAACCUCCGGUCACGGACUUUCUCCUUUGUAUGGAAUGACGGACUACCGCUUGGCGACAAUGAAUCUAUGGGCCGACGAGAAUGCCUCAAUGAUGAUGGAGGCGUUCAUGGCCUCCGAUCUGCCGUCGUUUUGGCCGCCACCCUCAUCCUCCACCACGGCGGCGGCUGCGGAGCCAUCCAAGGCGAUCCAUCACCAAUCCCUGCCGCCGCAGCCGGUCGCCGUGUUCAACCAGGAGAGCCUUCAGCAACAGCUCCAGGCCCUGAUCGAGGGUGCUCGGGAGAGUUGGACUUACGCCAUAUUCUGGCAAUCGUCCGUCGAUCACGCCGGCGGCUCGAUCCUCGGCUGGGGCGACGGGUACUACAAAGGCGAGGAGGACAAGGCUAAGCGAAAGAUGACGACGUCGCCGUCGGAGCAGGAGCACCGGAAGAAGGUCCUCCGCGAGCUCAAUUCUCUGAUCUCCGACUCCUCGCCGUCGGCCGACGACACAGUCGACGAGGAAGUCACCGACACCGAGUGGUUCUUUCUUGUUUCCAUGACUCAGUCGUUUCCAAAUGGCGGUGGCCUCCCCGGCCAGGCCUUCUUCAAUUCGACCCCAAUUUGGCUAGCCGGAGCCGACAGCCUCGCCGGCUCGCCUUACGAGCGAGCCCGUCAGGGCCAGGUUUUUGGUAUCCAGACCAUGGUCUGCAUCCCCUCCGUCAAUGGCGUCGUCGAGUUAGGUUCUUCUGAACUCAUUUUCCAGAGCUCUGAUCUCAUGAAUAAGGUCCGAGUUCUCUUCAAUUUCAACGGCAUCGAAUCGGCUUCGUGGUCGAUGCAGACCGACCACAGCGAGAACGACCCGUCGGCGCUCUACAUAACCGACCCUUCCUCGGCCGAAAUCCGGGACUCAGUGAACACUGCAAAGCAAAUCACAUUUGAAAAUCCGCCUGUUAUUCACCAAGAGAGCCAAGGGCAUUCCCAGAGCACAUACACCAGAGAGUUGAAUUUCGCUGAAUUCGUUAACGAGGGAAGUAGCACCGGCAACGGGAAUUCACGCCUGUGCAAGCCCGAGUCCGGUGAGAUAUUGAAUUUUGGGGAAAGCAAGAGGAGUUCGAAUCAAUCCCAUUUUGGAAUUGCGGAGGAGAAGAAGAAGAAGAGGGCGUCGACUUCGCAGAGCACAAUUGAAGAGGGAAUACUUUCGUUUAGUUCCGGCGUGGUAUUGCCGUGUUCGACGGCCACCGGGGAAGAGUCGAAUCAGGCCGACCUUAUGGGGUCGGCGGCUCGGGACGCCGACUGCAGGAGAGUGGUUGACCCUGAGAAAAGGCAGCGAAAGCGGGGCAGAAAGCCGGCGAAUGGAAGAGAAGAGCCAUUGAAUCAUGUGGAGGCUGAGAGGCAGAGAAGAGAGAAGCUUAACCAGAGAUUCUAUGCUCUCAGAGCAGUGGUCCCAAACGUCUCCAAAAUGGACAAAGCUUCCCUCCUUGGAGACGCCAUUUCCUACAUCAACGAGCUGAAAUCCAAGGUUCAAGCGGCAGAGUCCGAUAAAGAGGAGAUGAGCAGCCAGAUUGAGCGUCUGAAGAAAGAAAUGGCUGCCAAAGAGUCAAGAAAUCCAUGCCCACCGCCUCGGCUCGAUCCGGACCCGAAGCAUCCAAGCCACCAUCAAGACAGUUUGAUAGAUGCGGAAAUUGAUGUGAAGAUAAUUGGGUGGGAAGUGAUGAUCCGAAUGCAGUGCAGCAAGAAGAACCACCCGGCUGCGAGGUUAAUGGCGACGCUCAAGGAGCUGGAUCUUGAUGUGCAGCAUGCUAGCGUUUCAGUAAUGAAUGAUUUGAUGAUCCAACAGGCGACUGUGAGGAUGGGGAGUCGGUUCUACACGCAGGAACAGCUCCGGCUGGUCUUGUUGUCCCAUCUUGCCGAUACCUGAUAAGACUUGAAUCUGUGAGAUGCCCUGUUUUCAAUUCUGGAGGGAGAUGCACAAACAUGGUUGGCUAAGAAAGAGGGUAAACAUCAAUGGAAGUGCCAUCUUCUUUCUUCUUGUACACAUGCAUGGAACUAUCUGCGAAAUCUGCAUGUCAAAGGCACCAUCUUGAAAAUAGUCCCGGGUGUUUGAUCCAUUUCUCUUCUUUUCAAGUCUCAGAACUGGUUUUAGGGUGGAAGAUUGUCAUCAAACCUAAAAGCAGCCAAAAAGAUAAGAGAAGAGAAGAAUUUCGAACGACAACGAUGAAAUUCUAACUAUCAACUUCAAAGGAGAGGACAGAUCAGACACAAAGCAAUGAGGUUUUACUGAUCAACUUCAAAGGAGAGGACAUGUUACAGAUAAGGUUCCAAUGUUUUGAUAGUCACGGUGAUCAUGAAUGUGCAAAGAAGAUGAUGGUUGUGAAUUUGGGAAAAAAAAAAAAAGAAAAGGAAACAGAAAGAAAAUAUUGUUGUCGACAGAAUUUGAAGUGGGGGCCAAAUUAGAAAAGCGUGUUUUUUCUAAUAAAUAAAUUAAAAACAAUGAAAAGUUUAUAAAGAAAAAGAGUAGAGAACAUGUUUAAGAUAUUUUCUAAAAUUUA